GACGAACGCUGGCGGCGUGCUUAACACAUGCAAGUCGAACGGAAAGGCCCUGCGUUUGUGGGGUGCUCGAGUGGCGAACGGGUGAGUAACACGUGAGUAUCCUGCCCUUGACUUUGUGAUAACUUCAGGAAACUGGGGCUAAUACCGGAUAGGAUCUUCUGCUGCAUGGUGUGGGUUGGAAAGUUUCGGCGGUGGGGGAUGGACUCGCGGCUUAUCAGCUUGUUGGGGUGGUAGUUGCUUACCAAGGCUUCGACGGGUAGCCGGCCUGAGCGGGUGACCGGCCACCAUGGGACUGAGAUACGGCCCAGACUCCUACGGGAGGCAGCAGUGGGGAAUAUUGCACAAUGGGCGGAAGCCUGAUGCAGCAGCGCCGCGUGCGGGAUGACGGCCUUCGGGUUGUAAACCGCUUUCGCCUGUGACGAAGCGUGAGUGACGGUAAUGGGUAAAGAAGCACCGGCUAACUACGUG
This 468-nucleotide ribosomal RNA is filed under the name uncultured bacterium. RNAcentral describes it as "partial 16S ribosomal RNA". It matches the Rfam family "Bacterial small subunit ribosomal RNA", at positions 28 to 507 of the family's 1533-position model. The record is from RNAcentral.